RNAcentral lists this ribosomal RNA (459 nucleotides) under Salmonella enterica. Its description in RNAcentral is "bacterial SSU rRNA". It matches the Rfam family "Bacterial small subunit ribosomal RNA", at positions 1 to 456 of the family's 1533-position model. Lineage: Bacteria; Pseudomonadati; Pseudomonadota; Gammaproteobacteria; Enterobacterales; Enterobacteriaceae. RNAcentral also lists the same sequence under 1 other name. The record is from RNAcentral.
AAAUUGAAGAGUUUGAUCAUGGCUCAGAUUGAACGCUGGCGGCAGGCCUAACACAUGCAAGUCGAACGGUAACAGGAAGCAGCUUGCUGCUUCGCUGACGAGUGGCGGACGGGUGAGUAAUGUCUGGGAAACUGCCUGAUGGAGGGGGAUAACUACUGGAAACGGUGGCUAAUACCGCAUAAUGUCGCAAGACCAAAGAGGGGGACCUUCGGGCCUCUUGCCAUCAGAUGUGCCCAGAUGGGAUUAGCUUGUUGGUGAGGUAACUGCUCACCAAGGCGACGAUCCCUAGCUGGUCUGAGAGGAUGACCAGCCACACUGGAACUGAGACACGGUCCAGACUCCUACGGGAGGCAGCAGUGGGGAAUAUUGCACAAUGGGCGCAAGCCUGAUGCAGCCAUGCCGCGUGUAUGAAGAAGGCCUUCGGGUUGUAAAGUACUUUCAGCGGGGAGGAAGGUGUUG